Molecule: long non-coding RNA, 4767 nt
Organism: Sphaeramia orbicularis (orbiculate cardinalfish)
Lineage: Eukaryota; Metazoa; Chordata; Actinopteri; Kurtiformes; Apogonidae
Exons: 4
Source: RefSeq, a predicted model, not a curated record
UUGAUUUGGAGUCUGGUGCGUAAUGCGUAAAGUUAGCCUUUUUCUCACAGGGGACAUUUUUUGGACACUGGUCAGUCUGUGCGUCGAUCUGACAGCAACACACGGUUUAGAUUUCAUUUAUUGGCCAAAGUCACCAAGAUGUUUCUGUUUAAGGACAGGAGGGCUCCCUCUGCUGGUGAGGAAGAGAACCUGCACAGAUAGAAAAAGGUGAUAUGGAAAGAUGAGAUAUUAACUACAUAAUGACUUUGCCGGGAAAAGAAAAAUUAUCCUUGCAUGCAAUGGAGCACUAAAUGGAAGAGCCCUUGGGACUGAACACUUAAUACAGUAAAUGGAACCAAGAGACAAGCACAGAGAAGUUCCUCCGUCUUUUGGAAGCAAUUCAAAACAUCUCACCAGUGGCUACAUUACUGGAGACACAGGAGCAGAAGCACUUUGAGCGGGGGAUGGCCCACUGUUACAGUCCAAUUAAUUUGUGUAGAUAGUGCAGACAUGAUUUAUAGUUUAUUUUUUGGUGUGCUGUGCUGACAAACGAGCUUUCAGACGCCUCCGGCACGCAAUAGAUAAAGCAUGGAGCUCAAGCACAUCAUGAAAGGCUUCUGAGGUCUGAAGGGCCCGGCUGCCGACUAAAGGGUCCCGUGGACGGCCCUUUCUCCUUCGCUCACGCCUAAAUAAAGACGUCCUUCAAAAGCGGCAGACCCCUUUCAGCGGUUUCAGACGGUGAAGUGGCCGUCACAGGCUGCAGCUGCACUUCUGACUCAUGGGACGAGCUCUGCACUUUGGACUUUGGCAGAUGAAAGUGGAGCUGAAACAGUCAGUCAAGGAAUCCAAUGAUGAAAUAAUCAACUAUUUGGUGAAAAAAUCAAGUAGAAAAACAAAAACUGCUCACAUUUAUAAAUAAUAGCAGAUUUUAGCAUUAAUAUGAUUUAGCUCUAUCUGUCAAGAUCAUCCAGUUUUUCACUUUUACAUCACUAAUUCCUAACCCAGUACAGCACUUCUCUUCAUUCUUUCCAAGUAUUUGAUAAGAUAAAUAUUUUUUUUAGCACAAAUAUUAACAUAACCUAAUUCUAGCCUUUUCAGAUUCCCCCCCUUUGCUCAUCUUUUAUACUUAAGACUCCAAUAACCAGGGUUCCUACAGGUUUCUACAAGUUAAUUUUUUUUUAAAAACUACUCAGAACAGAAUUUAAUGCCCAUUUCACGGCCAUACUGGCAAAAAUUUGUGACUCCUAGAAUUUACAACACCUUGAUUCCCACUGUUCAGAAUAAUUUCUCACCAGGGCCUGCAAAGUUAGUGAUAGUUGGUUCCUAAUUUCAAUAAAAAUUGUCAGAUUGGAACAGGUAGAACUGAGUCGACUAACGUUAUUUUCUUUGCAGCUUGGACACAUUUAAACACAGCACAGCGAACGCGUCUAUGGUAACAUAACUUAUGACUUACCAUGUCAAAUUUAAUACCUUGUAAAAACUUUUUAAAUUUAUUGACUGCAGAUUUAUAAAUUAAAAAUUUUGAAGGCUUUUUGAGACCCUGCAGGAACCCUGAAUAACAAAUCCAAAUCAACUGUUUUGUGUAUAAAAUGAUGCGUCCAAUUUUCCAGACUCCAAUGUGACAUAUUCCCAUCCAAGGGAAGAAAAGGCUCGAAAAGUGACUAAAAUGACCCAUUGUCAAUGCGGUCGUUUAUGCAAAGACAAUAAAGCCUUUAUGUUCAUGUUACAUGUGUUGUAUGAAAACAAGAAAACCAUGGCUUUGUGUUGGGCAGAUCAAAUGAAUUAUGGAUAGUUUUUAUCCCUAGAGAGUUGAUUCACCCUCUAACAGAUGUAAACAGUUUGAUGUUUGCAGAACAGACCAGUUUGUAAAAGAAACCAACCAGGCAGAAUAAUCGUUAGGAAAACUCAGCUCUCCACACUUCUGACAUAAAGCAAACAGUCAAUUUGAGUCUGCGUUUCAGGGAUAUUCCUACAUUUUUAAGUGUAUUUGUUGCGGUUUUAGAUGACGGGCAUCAGUCCAGAUCUCAAAUCAACUGUGAAACUAUUUAAAAACUGCAGAAGAAUGAAAAAAAAAGCUCUUUAAGAGUCAACGCCACCACCCCUCCCUCCUGCCUGUCGCUGGCUAUUUCUAUAACUCUCGUAUGAAAUGCUUCUGACGUUAAACACCUGUUAACUUUUAUGCCUUAUGAGAGGAGUGGCUGAAUGGGAGAGCAUUAUAUUCAGUGCCAGUCGGCCUGGCCAAAUCCCCAGUAGAGGAAAGACCACUCCCAGUGCAGAGUGGCAGCGGUGGGACUGAGUGAGCCCCCUCAUCCCAGCAGCGACGCUGAACAGCGGCCUACGAGGAUCCCCCCCGCUCUAAGCCAACAGCCCCACGACUCCAGCUGACAGCUGCGUGAAACCACCACCUCUCCACAGCAGCCUGCCGCAAACUGCUACCCACCAGCAGACCUGCUUAAGAGGAAAAGUAGGGAGAUACGAGGGCUUUGAGGCAUUUAUGUUGUUGGUGUCUUGUAUCUAAGAGUUUCCUGUAAUGUAGAAGCGCUGAAGUGCAUCCAGACAGAAUCUAAAACCAGCACCGCCAGUCGUACAGGGUCUGAAACUGAACUUAAAUACUGGAACUGCAUCAUGGUUUAACUUGGAUUAGAUUAUUAUUAAUGUAGUUUGUUGGAGCAAAAGAAAAAGUCACAUCCCAGUUCUGCUAAAAACUGAAAACAUGCUCAAUAAAUCAUUAAAUUUAAUGAGGAAUUACUUAAAAUGAUCAACUAUUAUUAACCUAGAAACACUGUGGUUGCCUUUAAAAGUAUUUUACAAAGUGUUGCUGUUUUACAUAAUCGUUGACCUGAGGGUUAUACAUGUCAGAUGUAAGUGGUAUGAACACUACAGUGGUGGAAAAAAGUUUUUGGACACCCCAUGCAUUGUGAGAUAUUGCAUUAAAAUCCCUCUCAAGUCAUUUAACUCAAGUAUCGUUUCAUUCUCCAAACCCACACACUACCUUCUGCACGAACUCUGUUCUGUCGACGUCAAAACUGGAUGUUUCAACAAGAUAAUGAAACAUCCAUGAUAUGUUGAAACUGUCAAGAAUUUAGUUUCAUUUUUUCUUAACAAUAAACAAUAAAAUAAUUUGCUUUUCUUUGUGUCUGUCCAAUGCAGCCACAACUUUUGAAACAAAGAUUUUUCCACAAAUAUUUCACGGUAAUAUUUGAGAUUUUGUAAAAUUUUAAGGGUGUCCGAAAACUUUUCCACUACUGUAUGUUAUUUUGAACUGUCUCUCAUUCUCUUAACUUUCUUUAACUUCUUUUACCGUUUUCCAUUUAUAAGGCUCCCACUAAGAUUAUUUUCAUCGUCUAUAAAAUGUCAGAAAAUGAGAAAAAGAUCAGUGUUUCCCAGAGUCCAAGAUGAUCCUUAAAUGUGUUGUUUGAUCCAGAGCUCAAAAAUAUUGUUUGCUGUUACAGUAGAAAAAAUAUCGAAAUAAAGAAACAGGAAUAUGAGAAUUUAAUUUUUACUUUUAAAAAAUAUUCAGAUUGAUGAACCACUUAUCAACAUAGUGUUGAUUAAUUUAAUAGCUAAUCACUGCAGCUCAAAUAUAUUAGCUGAUACAGAUUUUACAUGUGAAAUAGCUUUUUUUUUACAUUGAACUCCUCAUGAUUGGAUUUGUCUCUCAAACUGACCCUCCUCAGUAAAAUAUAAAAAAUAAAAUCCAAGUAUCUGUCAUGUUUUAUAUUAUUCCACGUGUUGACUUUCUACCUCCUUUCCUCAGAGUCUGGACAGAAAGACCUUCAAUUAUACUAAAUAUAAAACUCCUAAAAGCAGGUCAGAAUUUAUGCAGUUGCAGUAAAAGCGACAGAUUUAGAUAGUUAUGUUAUGUUGUCGUGUUCUACCUCAUUCUUCAUGUGCAGUCCCUGCUGAGUUGAAUGUGGUUCAGCAACUAAGCACCUCAUACAUAAAAUCUGCUGCCUGUAAAUCAAUCUAAUGCACCUCAAACUCCACAGAAAAAUCAUUUUGGAUUACAAUGAAAAUGGCUCCAAUAAAAAACUACGGCUCGAGCCCGUCCAAUGGCAUCGGUGACUGAAAGGAUCGCUGUUUGUCUGCCAGACGUGGUGGCUCAAUGAAAGCUGAUCCAAACUUUUAAAUGAGAGGUGUUGGGCUAAUAUUUUAAGGCUUGGAUUGCAGCACCAGGAAAUACCUGAGAGGUGCACCUUUAAGCAAUCAAACCCAGAAAUCCGCAGGAAUGGUUGGAAAACUCUGGCUUUUUGUGUUAAGGCUUCUCCGUGCUGUCGGCUCGUAAGUUCAGGUGCAGCGAUUAAGGCCUCCUAACGUGUAAAUGAUGGUGGAAUAUUUCAUUUUUAGUUUGUCAGUUUUAUCCUCCAUUAGCAGGCAGGAAUGUCCUCUCCUCUUCUGCGCUCUGAAGUGGCUGGCUAAUGUCUUUGGCUAUUUACACAUUACAGACAGCACAUCCAUUUGGGAAACAGGAGAUAAUGUUUGAGACAUAAUAGGGGUAAAUAACUAAAAUCUUCAGAUUCUGUUCUGGGCGAUGCGUCAUUCUUUCAUAAACACAGAUUUCAGCCCUUACAAACAGAAGGUAAAUUAAAGUGGGAAACGAAAUGUAUAAAAGUGUCAAGUUAUCCAUUUUCUAGACAUUAAACUACACAUGGUUUUGAAGGUUUUAAAUUCUGCUCCUAAUUUAUCAACCCAUGUCAAACCAAACCAGAUUCCAUUAGUGUCCAAUAAUCCAGCAAAUGCAUAAAUUCAUAGUGAAAAAACAGUAAAAACAGGACGCAGUAUUAAGAA